AAUUUUCGGAAUCCAAAUUAGGGCUUGUUUGAUUCGAAUGAGAUUCGUCCAUAGCUGAUCAAGCUUAAAAGUUAGUCAACACAGCUUUUAAGUAGGAAGGCGUCUUAAAGAAGGGGUAAGCCAAACAGCCUGUAUAUUUUCUCCAAUUCAGGGCUCAUUUGUGAAAGCCCUGGGUUGAAGGAGGAGGAGGUUCGUUCGGAGAGCUGGGAUUUGCGAGGGCCGUUGCCGCUCUCCGUGGAAGGUGAUCUCUGUUUUCGCAGAUUGUUCGUCUGAGAGCCGAUGAUUCGCCGACUGAAACCAACUGCCCUCUGUGUGUGUGUGUGUGUGUGUGUGCCCGUUAAAGGGGGUGAACAAAAUUGCACUCGUUAAAAAAGGGUAAGCCAAACAGCAUCUGAAUAUUUUCUCCAAUUUAGGGCUCAUUUGUGAAAGCCCUGGGUUGAAGGAGGAGGUUCGUUCGGAGAGCUGGGAUUUGCGGGGGCCGUUGCCGCUCUCCGUGGAAGGUGAUCUCUGCUUUCGCAGAUUGUUCAUCUGAGAGCCGAUGAUUCGUCGACUGAAACAAACUGCCCUGUGUGUGUGUGUGUGUGUAUCUAAUCUAUCAGGGAAAUGCUAUUUGUACACUUAGUUGCCUAUGGGUAACGCAUUAUGGCUUUGUUUCUGCUUCUUCUUCAUCACCGAUCUCUUGAGGCUGUGAUGAUAAGAAUAUUCUGGGUCAAGAUCAGCAUUUGCCGGAGGGGAUUCGACCCGGUUCCUGGCGGGACAACCCGGAUGGCCAUUGAAAAGGGGGCUCUGUUCUGUUUGUUCUUUUUGGUACAUCGGAAAUAAUUGUAAAUGGCAUGAGUUCGAAUCCGCAAUCUCAUGCCUAGUGAGCGACGCUUGUGGCCUUUGUUCUCCUCUUUCACUAGGCAACCGAUGUUCCUAGCCAGGGUGGGAAUAUUCUCUUCUCGGCCUACUGAUCUGACUUGGGAAAUUUGGAAAAAUUGGAAAAAUAGGACUUUCGGUACUGAACUUUGGAAAAAUAGGACACUUUUCAAAUCUUUGCAAAACUACGACUUUUGAAAAUUGAUUGGAGGCUCCAUAGAUCUGAGCCUCCAUAUGAUUUAAGCCAAGACGAACCCGCUCUGUUUCCCCCAAAACACAGCCUUAAGAAAAGAUUGCGACCCAGAAAAUACAUGAGGCUGGGCAUGGAGAGCUGGGAAUUUGCCAGGGCUGUUGCCCCUCUCCGUAGAAAGGUGAUCUCUGUAUAUGCAGAUCGAUCAGCUGGGAGCCGAUGAUUUUCUUAAUCCAACUCAACAGUCCUUUCUAAUCAAUGACCCGAAUGGAUGUCACGUUCUUUUCUUUCGUAGUUUCUGCUGGCAAAUGGGCCCUUAAUGAAAAUCGAAAGACUUUUGGCCCAGAAAAAUGAGUGAGGCUUCCGGCAGAGAGAUGGGAUGUUUCUGAGGGUGGUUGCCCCUCUCUGCAUCAAACAAUGAAGCCAGUGAUUUCGUCGUCUUCUCCACAAAUCAACAACCCUUUGGGUGCGUGUGUUUUUACACAUACUGUAUGUAUAUGUAUGUAUGUGUGUAUGUAUAUUACGGCAUGGCUGUUUGGCAGUUGUCUUCAUCAUCAUCUUCAUCAAUCAUCAUCAUCUUGUUUCACUUCCUACAAGUUCCAAAUUCUUAUGAGGCUGUGAUGAUAAAUUCUCUGGGCCCAGAUCAGGGGUUGGGCGGACCGACCUGGUUCCUGGCGGGGCAACCCGGAUGGUCCUGUGGGGGAGGGAGGCAAAGAAAGAUGGUCACGGACUCUGUUUUCCUUCCUCCCUUACUGGGCAACCGGCUUUUGCAGCCACGGUGGUGGGUUGCCGGUCUUCUCAAUUUACCGAUCCGAUUAGAUCUGAGUCUCAAUCCCCAUUCUUAUUCUUUUAUACAUGGAUCCUCCCACUUCUACAUCUUUUCUUGUGAUUUUUGAGAUAUACAAUUGCAGAACUAGUGUUAGGGUUUUAUACCCUCUUUGGCUAUUGAAUUGAGCAUCAAACCAACCUUCUCGGUAACAGAAUUGAGCUUGUUUUGUUUUGUUUUUUUGUUUUUUUUUUUAUUUUGGAAUCGGGCUUGGUUUAAUGUUGAUAAUGACCAGCCUUCAAAUGCAGGUACAAUCUGUUCUAGAAAUGGAAGUUGUAAAUUGAUGGUGCAUUUUCUUCAUGAUGUGGCCUAUUUUUACAUUAGAUCUCACGUGGUUAUUUUUAACCACCUCUCUUCUAGUUGAAAGUGUGUGUGUGCGCAAAAGUGUAUUUUAAGAAAUAUAUUAUAUCAACUCAAACAUUUAAAUCAAUCGGGCUAGGGUAAAAAUGUCCUACGUCUCCGAUUGUGAUUUGAGUUACAAAAAAUAAAUUGAACCUAGAAAGAGGCACGGAGAGUGGAUUGUUGCCUGCUCUGUGAAGCCCAUCUUUGAUGUCAGAUCAUCCAAAACCAAUGAUUUCAACCACCAUUAGGGAAACCAACAGUCCUUCUGUCUCUUCUUCCUCUUUUCUUUGCAAUUCUUAUUGCUUUCGCUGCUGCUGAAUGUGGAUAUUGAAGAUAGAAACUAAGAAAGCAUUUUCUACAACUAAAUAGCCCUCAAAAUGUUGGCCUAGAAGUGAGACUGAAUUGAGGCUUCUUGGGGCAGAGUGAUGGGAUAUUUCUGGGGGUUGUUUCCCCUGUCUCUGAGUGUGUGGUUUCUUCUCUUGUAUCCAAGAAAUCAACAGCCCUGUGAGUGUGUGUGUGUGUGUGUGAAGCAUUCUGACUUUGCUGCCGCUGCUUCUUCUUCAUCUCCAUUCUUUGGAGGCUGUGAUGGUAAAUAUUCUGGGUCCAGAUCUUUUGUCAAAGGGGAUUCCACCCAGUUCCUGAGGGGGCAACCCGGAUGGCCAUUGAAUGGGGCUAUGUCUCUUUCACUAGGCAACUAAAUGACUAAUGUUCGCAACCAAUCAGGAGUGGCUACUCCUCCCAGCCUACUGAUCUAGAGCCCAUAUGUUUUAUUUCUGAUUUUGAGGAUGGAAGGUGUUUGCCAAACCUUCGGGGUGUGGUGUAAUUUACCUUUGCAUAUAUAGUCAACCAGCUAGUGUUUAUGGUCACUCAUUAGUUUAAUAAUGAGGCUCACAUGGAGAGCUGGGAAUUUUUGAAGGUUGUUACCCCUCUCUGUCGACUGUUGAUGAUCUCUGUCUAGACGGAUUGGUCAUCUGGGAGCCAAUGAUUUCUCAAUUCUCAACAAAAGGAACAACCGCCCUUUUUGCAUAUACACAUGCAGGAGAGAAGCCCAAUCCUUGCGGGGCACUCAUGGCCACUGUUUCUGCAGCCACAGCUUUCUGGCUUGCCUGAGAAUUGGCGACUCUGAGCUUCCCCUCUUCCCCUGUCUCUCUACUUAAAUAGUUUCUUGGUUUUUUCAGGGUAUUUAAGCUGUUCUUUGUGCGGUGUCAUUGUGAACUUUUAUUUUCAAUUUCCCUGGAAAUGCUUUUUGGUGAGAGUUGAUUCAUUUGAAAAGGUCUGUCUUGGUAUUAAGUUUAUUUAGUAAUAAUGUUGUAUUAUUUUUAAUAUUUUAUGAAUCUGUAAAUUUAACAUUUAAAAUUAAUUAUAUUUUGAUUAUUUUCUGAUUGACUGCUAGGAAAACUAUUUCUCCCGGAGAGAAGGAAAAUAAAGGCAGAUUCUCUACAAUGUUUCCUCAAAUUUUGCAAAUUUUUUUAUCUAAUUUUUAUCAAAAAUAUUUAGGAAAUAAAUAACAUUAUUAAAAAAUAUGCAUCAUGCUUGACAAAUGUAGGAAACAGGUAUUCCCACCAAGUUAUUGCUCUGUAUGCCAUUUCAAUUUUUGCAUUCUGUGUGCUUGUAAAUUUACAUAUGGUUUCUGGUAGUUGGCAUAAACGGGGUCCUGUCAUCUCUGCUCUCUCUUGCAUUCACGCAAGGGGAUGUGGCCUCUCAUCCUGGCUUACUGAUCUAUGGAUCUGCGCCUUCAUGUACCCACAUCAAUUCUAACAUCUUUUGGGAUUACCGUUCUUGCGCGGUCUCCCGCUAUUCGUGCCCUCGAUUUUGGCAGAUGAGGUAAAUCCCAGGCGGGCCUUUGGCCUUACAAGUAUCGAACUCGUGACCUAUUGGUACUAACUCUAUUAUAUCACUUGGCUGCCACUUGACUUAUGCCCUGCAGACUAAUUCUAACAUCUUUUCUUCUUAUAUCUGCAUGCAACAUGUGUUUUACUUGUGGUUUUGACGAUGGGAGGUGUUUUGUGCAAGGAAUGGAUCUUAUGGUUUGAAUGUAUUUUGAUUGCUUCUGCAUCUUUACAAAUCCAGCAUGAACUGGUUUUGUCUCUGCAUUUGUUACCAAGCAUCGAAUUGAUUUAGGUUGGUCAUGAAUGUUAUUUUUAUUUGGAAAUUUUAAUCAUAAAAAUUAGAUGUUACUAAUUAAUUACAAUGUGCAAUAAAAGAUCCCCAGCAAGCCUUCACAAUAGUUUUGGGUUAGUUUCAUGUGCUUGAAUUACGUAAGGGGAAAAUAUUCUUUAAGUAAAACCAUUUCUCAAGUUUUAACAAGUGAAAUGUUGGUAGAGUUUUAUUUUUUUUAAAGUAUGAGUCAGUCCACAAAAAUGGAUGUCAGCCAGUUCGGCUAAAACUUUGAAUGUAGCUAUGAACAGGACUUCUCUGCAGCAAUUAGUCUUCUAGAUAAGCUCUAAUGCUUUCAUUCAACUCUUAUAUUUCUUGUUAAAUAUUUCUUCUACCGGUCAUCCAUUUUGCCAGCAUGUUGUGUGAUCCAUCUCUAGAACGAAUGGAGGCUGAGGUGGUUGAAUGUGCUUGUGUUAUCAGCUUGCCCAAUGUCUAGGUAAUGCUUAAUCUAUCGCUCUGUGAUAGAUGCCACUUGCCUUUUCUUGUCAGUACCUGUUUCAGCAUCGAUGUUAUUGAUUUUUUUUUUUUUACUUGUUUGUCGAAUUGUGGAAGGGUAAUGAAAAUGCAAUUUGAACCGAUAAUUUGAUGAAUAUAGAGCAAAAUAAAACAGACCUAAAUAACAACUUGAGUUAAGGUUAAGGGUUUGGCAAGAAACAACCAAUAGCUAGAAAAGAUAUUAAAACUUUGAAAAUAUGUAAGCUAGCCAAAUAGGGUGGUUGAAGUAGAGUAAAAGGAGUAACCCACAAAUAGCUUGCCCUUGUUUAAGGGGGUGGCCAAACACAUUUGUAUAUUGUUUGAUCUUCCCCACUCCAAUCAUCUUCUCUCCCCCUCCCCACUCCUGAUUCUUCCCAUUGUUUCUUCUCUAAACCCCUUAACCAUGUGUAGUGUUUCUCAUGAACAUUUACUAGUGCUAUGUACAUUUUCUUUCAUAGGGAUUUUUGUUAUAGAAAAGUCUUAUGUGAUAAUGUAUUUUGGAUGGAACAAUAUAAUGUAUUUUGGAUGUAAAUAUUGUUCCAAAUUCAUGCUAAAAGAGUGCAUUUCACUCUUUGUCCAAUUUACAAACUUGCUCUUCAGUGAUUGUGCAUUUGCACAAUGUCCAAAACACUCUUCCUCUUCUUUUCCUUGUGGUAUUCAAUAGACCAGAUAGUAAUCUGUCACGAUCCUAGGGUUUACUAGGGUCUGAAUAGGAAAUUGAAGAAGAAAGAACAGAAUUGGAGGGAGAAAACAGAACAAAAAGAAGGAGAAAUGGAGAAGGAAAGGAAAGGUUUUAGAAGUACAGAGGGAGAGAGAAGAGUGGGAGUGAAGAUCAAUUUUGGGUUUUGAAGAGUGGGAGGGAAAGGUUUUAGUCAGUGCACAUUUUGGCCUAGUUGUGCACAUAUUCCUUUCCUAGUACUCGUAUUUGUACCUGUACUUGUUGAGUAAUAUAUAGUUAGUCCUUCAUCUUUGUCCACAUUGGGUAACAGAUAUCCACUGGAGACUUGUAUACAUUCAAUUUAAAUUAAAUAUUCAACUUAUUCAUUUCUUAUCUCAAAUUUUCUAUCAAAAUUUGGGAUUGUUGCAUUUUGUAGGUUCAAAUUGUUGAAAGCUGAUUUUUUGAUGUUGAAUGUUUAUCCUAGGCUUCCUUGCUAAUAGCCAAAAACCAGCCUUUGGUACCUGCCUUAAAUGGACUGAAUUUGUCAGAUAUAUGUCAAAUGGCAUAAAAAUUGUCGUCCCUACAUUUUGGUUGAGUAUUAUUUUCCUAGUCUUAUUAUUUCUACAAGUUUCAAUCAAAGAUCCAGAAAAUGAACGAGGCUUCCCACAAAGAGAUUGGAUGUUUUUGAGGGUGGCUGGCCUUCUCUGUAUGUACCAAAAACUGGAAACUUGUGUUCUGUCCUUAUUUGGGAUUCCGGAACAAGUAUGGCAAGUGUCUCAUAAGAAUCCUUACUACUAAGUAAUUGUGCAGCAUAAUUUCGUUUCAAUUUAUUUGGAAUUGUGAUUAUAUGGCUGGUCUCUUUCCAUAGAUACAUAAGGUGUUCUAUUCCGGUUAUUUUUGUGAAAUCUUCCGAAUAUGAGUUCAGAGAGUUCAAAUGUAGAUUGGUGCAUCGGCAGAAUGCUGAAUCUCACUGGUAUUGGAUUAACACUGAAUUCAAAUUCAUGGUUCUAAAAUUUCAUGCAACUAUUGUUUGGGAAGUUUUGUUUUUCUUUCCUAUAUCUGAUAAUCAAAGAUAAAGUAAAAUCAACCAUCGCACAAGGUUGUCUAGAAUUCAGCUAAAUUUUGAGCCUUGGAUAAAAUAAAUUAUUUGGAUAAUCUUAAAGAUUUAGUGUCUAAACCAUCAGAAGAGGUGUCACUGAAGAGUUGGGGGUUUUGUUUACUUGUGCUAGAAAAGAUAAUUGUUGAAGUAGUUAGAUCAGCAAACCUUCUAUUGAGGGCCGCUACUAUGUGUAUAUCAUUUUGUUCUUGAGCUAAUUUUGUUUUUAGAUGAUAUAAUCCAAAAUAUGAGGUGAUAUUUAUUAUAUUGAACCUGGAAUCAUCAGACUGAACCAUCUUUUCCCCAACUCGUAUUCAUAGUAGCAGAUGUUUGGUCAACUGCCAGCUGGCUCCUGCAACCCCAACUCGUGCUCAGCAGGUCAUGAUUGUUGUGCCUUUGUUCUGACUGGCACCAACUGUUCGGACCCUGGAGACCUUCAGCAGGAUUCAUAUAAAUAAAUAUCAAGGAAUUGAAACUGCUGGACACCGACCCGAUACCCGACCCACCCGGGUUGGGUUUAAAAUGGCAUGUUAGAGCAGGCCAACAUCCGACCAAGCCCUAGCGGCCCCCUGUUGCUUUCUCCCCCUGGCCUGCGUCUCCGUUUACUCUUCUUCUUCGGCCAGCAUCCGCCGGCCGUCGGCUCGCCUACUCUUCCUCUCCUCUGGCAGUCCCUUCUCUCUCCUCCGGCCAACUGACUGCCAUCCCGACGCCGGUAACCGGAGUUUCUCCGAUUUAAGGUUUGUUGGUCACAAGACCAAGGCGAACCGGCUGUCGGAAUCUGCCAUGGACGGUGGCCAGCGAUUCCUUUCCAAAAACGGUAGCCUUUUUUCCAAAAAAAUAGUAUUCAGAUCUAGUGAGAUCCAACACCACCAUGGAACCACCUUUCACUCCCUCUCUUUCGCUAUCUGCUCUCUCUUUCUGUCUCUCUCCCUCUUUCAUUAUCCAUGAUAUAUACGUAUAUACGCGCGGUUGGGUUUGGCGGGAAGUUUAAGCUUAGAUCUAUGGAGAUUCGGCCGUUGGAUCUUGUUGGUUUUUGGGUAUGUUGGUCGAUGGGGAUAAGGGUGUUGAGUGGUUGCCUCUGAUCGCCGGAAACCAGCGGCCACGGUGGCGGUGGCGACUGCCAGUGCGUUUUUCAGUUCUGGCCAAAAAUUAAAAAUCAGAUCUAUAAAAUCCAGCCGUUAAAUCUGGCCCAUUUUUAUGUAUGUUAACCCCCUUGGCUUGGCGUUUCUAAUGGUAUGCUCUGAUCGUGGGAAUCUCCGGCCAGCGAUGGUCGCCAACUGUUGGAUGAGGAGGCUCGUCUGGAGAGCUGGGGGUUUGCGAGGGCCGUUGCCGCUCUCCGUGGAAGCUGAUCUCUGUUCUAGCAGAUUGAUCAUCCCAGAGGCGAUGAUUCACCGUCUGAAACAAACUGCCCUGUGUCUAUCUAUCUAUCUAUCUAUCUAUUCUAUUAUAUAAGCAAUGUCCCUUUGUGGUGAUACCACUGGGUAUCUCGUUCUGGCCUUUUGCUUUUGCUUGCUCCUCUUCUUCUUCUUCUUCUUCUUCUUCUUCACCAUUGUUUUGAGGCUGUGAUGAUAAUAAUAUUCUGGGUCCAGUUCGGCAUUUGCCAAAGGGAUUCGACCCAGUUCUGGCUGGGCAACCCGGAGGGCCAUUGAAAGAGGUGUUCUGUUCUCCUCUCUCACUUGGCAACCGAUCUUUGCAGCCACAAUGGGGCGGCUUCUCUUCUCGGCCUGCUGAUUUAAACUAGAUCUGAGCCUCCAUAUUAUUUAAGGAAAGAUUGUGACCCAGAAAACACAUGAGGUUGGACGCGGAGAGCUGGGAAUUUGCAAGGGCUGUUGCCCCUCUCCAAAGAAAGGGAUCUCUCUAUCCCCAGAUUGAUGUCUGAGAAUCAAUGAUUUUCUAAAUCAAACUCAGCAGCCCUUUCUUUUAAGAUGGCUUUUAAGCCUUUCUAUUUGGGGGGUGUUUGGCUUACCAGUUUGACCACUUAUAAGCUAUUAGUGAAGUUUAAACUCUCUAUAGCUUAUUUAGUUACACGUUUCUUAAAAAUUAAAGAGUUUAAACGCUAUUUGACUGUUAUUUUUUUGAAACGUUGUCAAAUAACGUUUAAACUCUUUAAUUUUUAACAAAUGUGUAAUUAAAUAAGCUAUAUAGUGUUUAAGCGUCAUUUUCUCUCUCAGGUUUACCUUUGUUGCAGCAUACAGCUACUCUCUAUCUCUUUGACCGUCCCCUUAUCAUUGUGCCCCCUUUUUGCCCGGUUGCUCGGUGCCACUGUCGAUUCACAACUCUGAUUGAUCCGUGCUUGGUGUGGCUGUUUCUGUGCAACACGAAUUGAUUCACAACUCCGAUUGCUUGGUGCCACUGUUUUCGUGCAACACGAAUCAUCACUACCCCUUGCCAAACUCUGAUUGCUCAGUACUGUCGUUGAUUCAGUAUAAAGGGGUAUGAUUUCUUUUGUUUUUCUUCUGUUGUCUGAUUAUUGAUUUUAUUUCUGGUGAUUCUUGUAUUGCUUCAUUUUGACUUGAAAGGUAAUGAUUUUGCCUUUCUCAAAUUGUUUGAUUGCUGUCUGUAAGGUAAUGAUUUUGCCUUCAUUGUGAUAAUUUGAUUGAGGUUUUAUAAUAUUUCAGAGGGAUGGGAACCUUUUCUUGCUAGGGAUGGGAACCUUUUCUUGCUAGGGUUGUUGCUUUUUUACUUUUGUUCAGCAGUUCUUUUUUUUUUUUUCUCUCAAGAAAUUCUUUUGGUAGAAAAGAGGGGUAGAGCCCAAGAAACUAAUUCUUACCAUUAUGAGACUGCCCUCUUACUACAACAAUUGUUGGACAACAGCCACUUAAUUUAUUAACAAUUGCAACAUGACCCAGGGCGACGUUUACUAGAUGUGAGUUUAUAGCAGUUGAAAACUUGAAAUAGCUUCAUGGCAAGCUUUGCUAUACUGGAUUUUCUUUCACUCCUUAGGGCUUGUAAAAAGUAAACUUAUAUUUUCUUUGUGGCAGUUUGUUUUAUUAUAUUCUAUAGCUCUCUGAUGAAGCUCAUUUUUAGGCUUACAACUAACACAGUUUGCUUUCUUUAUGCAUUGUAUCACGGUUGCAUUGAAUAUUUUCUCCCACUGAUUGAAUUUAGGGAUCAAUCAUGAAAGCAGUGAAUUCAGAGAGCUGGGGAUUUGCAAGGGCUGUUGCCCCCCUCUCCAUGGAAGGUGAUCCCUGGUUUCACAGAUUGAUCAUAUGAGAGCCGAUGAUCCAUUGAUUAUAUCAACAGCCCCCUGUGAGUGUGUGUGUGUGUGUGUGAGAGAGAGAGCAAUGCAUUCUGGCAUUGCAUCUGCUUCUGUUCCUUCUUCUACAUUUCCAUUCUUUAGAGGCUGUGAUAAUAAAUAUUCUGGGUCUGGAUCAGUUUUCUAGGGAUUUCACCCAAUUCCUGGCGGGGCAAACCCGGAUGGCCAUAGAAAGGGGGUCUCUGUUCUCUCUCAAUAGGCAACCGUCGUUUGCUGCCAUGGCUUUGGUGUCUACUCUCUUGACCUACUGAUCUAAAUUAGAUCUGAGCCUCCAUAUAAGCUCACAUGAUUUAAGGUAAAGCCAAACUGGCUUCUGGCUUUUUUUUUCUCUCCCAAACAAAGCCUUAAACGAAAGUUAGUGACCCAGAAAACACUUGAGGCUCAAUGUGGGGAGCAGGGAAUUUGCAAGGGCUGUUGCCCCUCUCCUUGGAAAGGUGAUCUCUGUCUCUGCAGUGAUUGUCUGAGAGCCAAUGAUUUUCUAAGCCAAACUCAACAGCCCUUACAAAAAAUCUGGGUGAAUCACUUUCUUUUCUUUUCUUUUCUUUUCGUUUGCAUAUUCUGUGGGGCCCUUAAUGAAAGGCUUGUGACCCAGAAAAUGAAUAUGGCUUCCAGCAGAGAGAUGGGAUGUUUCUGAGGGUGGUUGCCCCUCUCUGCGCCAAACAGAGAAGCCAGUGAUUUCAUCUCCAAAAGUCAACCCCCCUUUGGGUGUGUGUAUGUAUAUAUAUAUAUGUAUAUCGGCACAUUACUGUUCAUUGCCUCAGUCAUCACCAUCACUUCCAAGUUCCAAAUGCUGUUGAGGCUGUGAUGAUAAAUUCUCUGGGUCUUGAUCAGGUGUUGAGUGGAUCUGAUCCAGCUCCUGGCAGGGCAACCCGGAUGGUCCUGGGAGAGAGAGAGAGGGAGGGCUAAAGAAACAUUAUCACUGACAUUGUUUACACCUCUCUCUUACAGAGCAACCGGCGUUUGCAGCCAGGGCGGGGGUCACAGGUCUUCUCAUUAUGCUGAUCUCAUUGGAUCUGAGUCUCAACCGAACUCCAUUUAUGGAUCUUUACCUCUUUUACCUGUUUUGAUACGUAUUUGUUGGGUUUUUUCAAUCGAGUAGUGUCAAAUACUAUUUGGGAUUUGUAAUUGCAGAUCCAGUAUUCAUAAUUGAUACAUCCUUUUGGGAGUGGAGUAUUGAGCUUGGUUUGAUGUCUUGCAGUGGCUGAAAGUUGUAAAUCGAUAUGGUUUUUUCAAGCUUCGGGCCAUUUUGACCUAGGCUGUAUGAAAAAAAUCAUAUUUUUUCAUGUUUUAAUUAUGGAUUUGACUGUUCCUAAAUCCAACUAAUUGUGGUUUGAUAUUUUAAAAAAAUUUAAUAAUUUUUUGUUUCAGUAUUUUAUUUAAAAAAAUAAUUAAAAAUGGUAUAUGAUAUGGGUUGGGGCUUUGGAACCCCAAAACCUCCAUUAUGGUAGGAGACCCUGUUGAAUUUUAUCUACUUAUCAUUUUGUUUUAGCAUUUUUUAAAUCUAUUUUACCUUUAUAGCGUGGCUUUUUAGUAGCUUCAUCUUUAUUAUGGAAUUAUUAUAUUAUGGAUUUUGUAUUCAUAAUUACAUAUUAAAUAAACAUCCAUCUCGGUUUGACUGUUGGCUCUAACCAGUUUGAAAUCUUGUACUUAUUCUUAAAUUGUGUUUUGAAACAAUAUUUGAUUUUAAGAUUGCUUCUCUUUCUCUCUCUCUCUCUUGCUCUCACUCUCGCUGCUCCUGUAUUAGGUUUUAAGAGUGUAUUUGCUUAAAUUAGUUUUGUAAGAGCUUGUUAACAAGGGGGCCCUAGCUCUGAUCUUGAGAAAUUGAAUGGAUGAGGCCUCAAACAGAGAUGUGGGAUGUUUUUAAGAGCGGUUGCCCGUCUGAUAGCCGAUGAUUCAUUGUCCAAAAUCAACUGCCCUUUUCUCAUUGAAUCGAAAUUCUGUAGGAAUAUCAUUUUCCAUGCGGAUGCAGGAUAUGAUGCUUUACGGAAGAUGUGGCCAUGGAAGGGAGUUGGUGAGCAAGAAUUCUCCAAAUGGGAUUAAAAGCAUAUUAACUGCUUGGGGUGGAGAGAUGGGGUGUUUCUGAGGGUGGUUGCCCCUCUCCGUUCAUGUCAAUAAGCCAGUAAUUUCAUGUAUCAUUUCCGAGCAAUUAACUGCCCUCUUGUGUCUCUGUCUAUGCAUGGGGUGUACAACACCAUUCCUGUUACACUUUUACACCUCUGCAUCGCUAAAGCGUUCUGGCUUUGCUGUUGGUUCUUCUUCUUAUCAUUCCUUAAGAGGCUGUUUUGACGAGUUUUCUGGGUCCAUAUCAGUUGUCAAAGGGGAUUCUACCCGGUUACUGGUGGGGCAACGUGGACGGCCGUUGAAAGUGGGGUUCUGCCUCCUCUCUCCUUAGCCAACCGAUGUUUGCAGCCACGGCGGGCGUUGCUUCUCUUCUCGGCCUACUGAUCGAAAUUAGAUCUGAGUCGCCAUAUACGCACUUAACGAGGCAUCUGAUAAGAGAUCAGCCAAAAGCGAAACCGAGAGCCGUCUAUUCAUGGUGUUCUGUCAUGGAUGCAUUAAAUAUUUUAUCCCAUCCAUGGAAUUAGAUAUAUUUUACAAUCUCUAUGUGGAUCAAGAGCCUGCAUGGUAUUGCUAAACCGUGCUAUGGAACAGCUGGGGAUUAGCAAGUCUCUUUGCCCCUGUGUGUAGGAGGCGAUCUUUGUUUUCACAGAUUGGUGUUUGAGAGGCAAUGAUUAUUUGGCUAAAGGGCUAGUCCACGGCCUGCGCUUUGCGGUGCUUCUACCUUUUUCUUCUUCGUUAAAGAGGCUGUGAUGUGAAAUAAUGAGAGUCCAGAUCAGUUGUUGGAAGGGGAUUAUUUCGCCCGAUUCCUGGCUGGGCAACCUGGACGGGCAUUGAAGGCGGCGGGGCUGUGUUAUCUGUUCUGUGGGCAACCGACGUUUGCAGCUAUGGCGGGGUGGGCUACCCUUCUCAGCCAAACUGAUCUAGUUAGGAUCUGAGCCUGAGCCUCCGUUUUUCCUGAUUAUAUCAAAACAUCUUUGAAUAUUAUUUAUGCAUGCAGCCUAUGUUUUGAUGAUGCCAUUGAAUUCGUGUGGGAGAACCAUGGAUGGUGUUUUCAGUAGAGUAGAGAUCUUAAUAGUUUGAACCUAAUUCAAAAUCCAACUAAUUUGGGCGGUUGUUUAGAUUGAUCA
This is a long non-coding RNA of Diospyros lotus (date-plum), 13045 nucleotides long. RefSeq lists it as uncharacterized. The record is from RefSeq and is a predicted model, not a curated record. The transcript is spliced from 4 exons. NCBI's taxonomy places the organism in Eukaryota, Viridiplantae, Streptophyta, Magnoliopsida, Ericales, Ebenaceae.